Molecule: ribosomal RNA, 261 nt
Filed under: Ophiocoma sp. t HS-2022
Lineage: Eukaryota; Metazoa; Echinodermata; Ophiuroidea; Amphilepidida; Ophiocomidae
Description: partial large subunit ribosomal RNA
Source: RNAcentral
UGUCUCUCUUCUCUUGUGGNGAAAUUAACAUUUAGGUGCGGAGGCCUGGAUUUAGGAGUGGGACGAGAAGACCCUAUAGAGCUUUAACUUUAAUUAUAAAUGCUUAUUAUGGUGAUCGUUUUAGUUGGGGCAACUACUUUUGUAAUUAAACAUUAGUGAUGGUUUAAUAAAUUAAAUUUUUGAGGACCUUGAAGUUUUCAGGUAAUUAGAAAAAGUUACCUUAGGGAUAACAGCGUAAUUUCUCCUGAGAGUUCUUAUUAA